RNAcentral lists this long non-coding RNA (8366 nucleotides) under Nicotiana tabacum (common tobacco). RNAcentral's name for it is "long non-coding RNA (NTAB_LNC001259)". Lineage: Eukaryota; Viridiplantae; Streptophyta; Magnoliopsida; Solanales; Solanaceae. The record is from RNAcentral.
CCAUUUCAAUGAAUAAUAAACAAACAUGCUGAUUAUACUACGACUUUAACCAGGACUUUUAUACAGACUUAAUACCAUCAUCAUGAGCUACGGAACAUAUACCCCUGAACAACUUCAUUAACCAAACACUAUCACAACAAACUUAAACAUAACAAGGAAGAAAUGGACAGGAAGAAAUAGAGUGAAAGCUGAAUAACCUAAAAAAAUAUAGAAACUAAAGCCCCAAACAAAAUAAUCCUCAUUGACUUCAGUAGAAACAUAUCUUCCAUAUAAAACAUAUUCAAGCUCCAUUUGCCAUUCAAGGUUCAAAGGAAUACCUGGAAUAAUAAAAAACAAAUAGCAGAAACUUUCAGCAAAGAAAUUAAAAUAUCAGCAGCUUCUAAACAGCAACAAACAACAGUUCAUCAAUCAGUUUUUUAUGUCUUGAACCCAGAAGAAAAUAGCAAUUUUUCUAGCCUUUAAAACCCAAGAAACAUGAAAAAAUAGCUACAACAGACCAGUAUUUGCCAAUUUUUUGUGUUUUCUUGCUAAUUUCUAAACUUUAGUAGUGAGUGUACCCUUCAGCCGUUUCUAGUUAUUUAGUCUUGUAAUCGCUGCCCAUUUUUAUUGAAAACAACCCUUAUAUAAAGGACCUUAGGGCAGCAGAAUUGAUUUCAGAGUUUUGUUCAUUACCCCUUCCCCAAUUUUCCUUUUGCUCAAAUAACACCCUGAAUUUUAAACCCAUUUACUGAACUACCCAAUCCCCUCUUUCCUCGAAGCUUCCCAAUCAGUUUAAGGGAGAUUCCCCUUAUUAAAUUCCCUAAGCUACCCCUCAAAGGCUUACUAAAUACUUUAACACACCAGACCUUGAACCCCUUUAAACAAUUGAAAAUCCCAAAACCCUCACAACCCUUUGGGCCUUAGUGCUAAUGGGCCUGUCUGGAUGCAGGGCAGACCCCAAACCAAACAAAGCCCAAAACAAAGCAAUUUUUGGAAGAAGAAGAAAUCAACAAUAAUCCGACUCAGCGAAAUAAAAAAUAACUGCAAUGAACCAAUUCAUCGGGACCACAGAAUCGUAACAAAAUUAAAGAGAUAAAUUAGAAAUGAUUAGUGAGGAAUUACACCGAUUCAAAGGCCUAACAAAACUAAAUCAUGUUAAGACAUUUAACGAUAAUUGACAGACUAAACGACCCUGAGGUCAAGCACAAAGAAAGGAAAGCUAAAAUUCUUCGUUCUUGAAAGAAAAAGAGAAGAAGAUAAAGAAACGAAGGGGAACAGAUAGACAGAAAAAGGGACCAAGAUAGAUAGAAAUACCUAAUACUCUGGGCGGCCAGACGACUUGGAUAAAACAGCACCCCGGCUUUUCGAUUUAAACCGAAAUGAGUGUUAAUUGAUUGUUCUUGUGAGAACAAACGACUAACACUCGUUUCAGGCCAAAAUUGACUUCAAAGAUUGGAGAACAUGAACCCAGGCCUUUUACAUGAUGAAUCAAGGGCAAGAACGAAUCUAGGGUUUUGUCUUCAGAUCUAAAAUUAAGGGAGACUGGUGGAGAUUUUGGGGAAAUUGACACCGGCCUAAUGUUUGAGGGAGUAUGGGGAGUGUAUGGUUGAUUUUUGGUGGGAUUUGGAGCUUCAACGCCGCCAAAGGCGAAAUCCGGCGGGUGGCAGGCGGUGGUGAGAUAUGAGGAUGAAAGAUAAGCUGUAAUAGGGUCCUAGUUAUUUUAGGGGUAUUCAGAUAAUUAUAAACGAAAAAAGGGAGGGACUUUCAUGGCCGUUGGAUGGAUUAAGAUGAAGGGCCAGGAUCUACUUAACACAAAUGAACUCAAAACGACGUAGUAUUGCCCCCAUACUACAUCGUUUUAAGGGUCUCAUUGACUGAGAGCUUGGACCGGGUGUGGGACUGGGUUUUGGGCCUGGAAUUCAUUUGGGCUUUGUUGAAUUGGCUCUAACAGCCCUUCUGAUUCUCUUUUCCUUUUUUUCAAUUUUCAAUUUUUCCUUUUCUUUUUCAAAUUAAUUAACAAACUAAAUUAACUCUUAAAUUAAAAUAAUUUACCAAAUUAAGCUAAUUACCCAUCAUAAUAUUUACAAAAAUUAAUUAACUCCUAAAUUAAAAGAAGAACUACAAAUUUAAAAUUAAAAGGGUAAAAAUACAAAGUGAGCUAUUUUUUGUGAUUUUUCAUUUUUAUAAAACAACUAAUUUACUAAUUAACCUAAAAAUAUAAAAAUAAACCCCAAAUGCAAUGCAGAGUAUUUUUUUGUAUUUUUUAUGAUUUAAAUAAAACAAACGUGCACAGACAAAUGCGAACAAUUAACAAAAAUCCUACAAAAAAUCUACGAAAUUGCAAAUAAUGGAAAAUUUUAUUUUCUUGAAUUUAUGGGAGUACUUCGUAUAGGGCAAAAAUCACAUGCUGACAAAGAGUACACGAAUUAAAGAAAACGAGUUUCGUUGAAAGUGGUCAAACUGGGAUAAAAUCCCGGUCAAGCGAUAAUACCCGAUAAUUAUGAACUAGUACCAUGCAAGGUAUCAUAUGGCCGUGAUAAAGUGAUGCAUAAAGUAUAUUAAAAAUGAGUAGUAUUUUUAGGUAAAUUGAAAUAAUUCUUAAUUAUACGGAUAAUUGAUUAAUUACCGGGUAACGAGACAUUACCCAGUUAACUAAUAAGUAGAUAAAAAUUUAUAAAUCACCCCUCCAAAACGUGGCAAGAAGACACAAAUCAAGGAAAUGACUAAGUAGUCAUAUAAGUCAUAGGUGGCUAUCUAGGAAGCACUUGAAUUUAAUAAGGAAAUUGAUCUUAUUCCAUUAUCUUGGACAAAAACAGAACAAAGAACGUUCAAAAUCUAAAACAAGAAACAUACUCCACCUUUCCAUUUUCAAUUCUUCAACUAGAAGAAGCCUAUUUUCGUUCAUUUGGUUCGAAGAAGCAGAAGCUAAAGUUCUUUCAAGAAUUUCAAAAAAACAAAAGCUAAAUUGUUGAACAAUUUCAAAAUAGCAGAAGCUUAAUCCGAUUUUUAGGAUUCUAAGUUCAAUCCACGAAGGUUUCCAACGGAAUAUUAUACGGAGUUUUCCCUACUCCAGGUAUGUUAAGGCUAUCUCUUCUUUCUUUUAGCAUGGUUCAAAUUAUACAGAAGAAACGAGCAAACACACAGUUUCCCUAAAUUACUCUAUUUCAUAAAAGUACUAGGGGUCUCUGUGUUCUUGAUUCCCCAUGUGACAUAUUAUUAUAUCUUAUGUUUAUGGGUCUCAAAAUGAUACGCAGUUGAUAAAGUUUAUCCUAAAAGAAUAUUGAAAUUUUUAACAUAUUUCCAUGUAUUUUAUUCAUUUGUGCAUAUACAUUGACUCAUGACCAGACGGCGUUAUAUAUGCGUAUUUAUACGCAUAUAUUUAUGUAUAUGGGAUAUGGGAAAAAGGUUACGGCGUUAUAUACGCACCACCACCUGAUGAGUUGGUAUAUGUUGAUGAUGUUGCCCACAGUGGCCGAGAUGAUAUGAUGAGAUGCCCUCAAUAGCUUGAUGAUAUUAUGUACACCCAUACCUAUGCAUGACACGGCAUUUGUACGCACAUGCAUGACAUUAUAAGUGUUUCAGAAUUUACAAAGUUAUUCAGAUUUACAGAUGGAUUUCUUUAUUCCAUGUUUCAUCUGUCUUUUAUGCACUAAUUUUCAGAAUUUACAAAGUUAUUCAGAUUUACAUAUGGAUUUCUUUAUUCCAUGUUUCAUCUAUGUCUUUUAUGUACUAAUUUUCAUGCCUUACAUACUCAGUACAUUUUUCGUACUGACACCCUAUUUCAUGGGGCCUGCGUUCCAUGCCCGCAGGUGCAGGUAGUCAAGCUGACGUGGCUCAGUCCCGUCUUUGUACAGUUAUAUUUCUAUUAGAGGUCUGUAGACAGUAUGUCUAGUUGGAUAGUAUGUGGCCUUGCCGACUUCUAGUUUUGAGAUGUAUAGUUAUCUAUAGCAGCCUUGUCGGCUCGCCCUACGUAUGUUGCACGUAUAUGAAUGUAUGUCUUUUUGGGUAGAUUUCCUUCAUGUACAUUAUUCUCGUAAUUCAGCAAAUGUUAUUCAGGUUUAUAUCUUAGACGCAUGCUUGGGGGUGUUUGACAAGUAGGAUUCGGGCACUCGUCGCAGCCUAUCUGAUUUGGGUCGUGACAUAAAAAAUAUUUUCACUAUAAUUUCACCUUUAAGUUUCUACCAGCAUGGUACUAAAAUAUAUCAAUACUCGUCUAAUCGUUUAUAUAUCUGAAAAUUUGACAUAGAACUGAAAAGAUCAGUAUACAUAGGAGCAUAAUAAAUACGCUAAACUUAAAAAACAGCCUAAAAUGUGGAAACAAAUCAAUUUUCUUACCUUUGGAAUUUCAAAGAAUUUUUUCCUUCAUUUCCUGAUUUUAGCUGUUGCGACAUGCAUUGUGGAAUUCAUAUAGCAAUUACUUUGAAUUGAGAUAUAAUUGUUGUCGUUUCUUGAUUUUAAACGUAAUAUAAAUAUAAGACUGUGAUAUGUUCAGAUCAAAAGAAACAAAAUAUUCAAAUGUAAGUGUCAUACCAGCUCUCCUCUAUUCCAAUUUAUACAAUAACAAAUUAAUUGAAGAGUGAAUCAGAAAAAAAAAAUUAUUUGACUAAAACUUCUCCCACAUUGUUUUUAUGACCACCAAGGAUUGGGUUGGGUUUGGGGGUUUGAGGUGUGUGUGGGUGGGGGGGGGGGGAGAAUUGACUAUUGAUAAAAUUUAGGAGUUGGAGAAGAAGUUGAUGGAUAUGGUGGCUUGGGAGUUUAGCGGGGUCGCAAAUAGUAAGUGGACUAGGAAAACUAAUUGUAUUAGGGAAAUGGCUAGAGAUGUAUUAGGGGUCUCUAAAGGUAACUUUGGUAGGCAUAGAGAGAAUUGGUAAUGGAAUAGAGAGGUCCAAGGGAGAGUGGAAGCCAAGAAGGCUUCUUACAUGAAGUUAGUGAAGAGCAAAAACAAGGACGAAUAAGGAGAGGUAUAAGAGGGGCAUUUGUAUCUAUACCUGCUUUUUGGGUCACGUUUUAACUUGUGUCCGUUUUGCAAAAAAAAUUACAAGUGUACCCACUUUUUCGCGUAAUUUCAGCAUACGGGGUUGAAGUAGCAAAGGCAAUCACGCAAAACUUCAGCAUUCUAGUAAACGGGCCUGAAGUAGCAAGUGUGCUGAAGUUUUUGUUUGUAAUUGCUGAACUUAAGCAUAGUAGUUGAAGUUUUGUUCUCUAUUUGCCGAAGUUUUUAUUUUUAAUUGCACUAAAUAAGCUGAAAUUUUUUGUCCUAGAUUCAUUAGUUUUGUCAUUAAGCUUUUACAAAAACUUCAGCAGAAGAUGCUGAAGUUAUUUAGUUCAUUUAUAAAAACUUCAGCACUAAAUAAACUGAAGAUUUUUUUGUCCUAGAUAAGCUUUUUCAAAAACUUCAGCAGAAGAUGCUGGAGUUAUUUAGUUCAUUUGUAAAAACUUCAGCUUUAAAAGCUGAAGUCUUUUUGUCCUGGAUUCAUUAGUUUUGUCGUAAAGCUUUUUCAAAAACUUCAGCAUAAAAUGCUGAAGUUAUUUAGUUCAUUUGUAAAAAUUUCAGCACUAUAUAAGCUGAAGUUUUUGAAAAAGCUUUCUAACAUACUAGAUAAAUAAUCAGAUUGCCAACGGUAUCUAAAUCAUAAAUUUUGGAAAUAAUAAACGUGAAAAAAAUAGAAUUAUCAUUGUCUACUAACUUACGUACGUGGAAAUAUUCACAAAUUAUUGUCUACUAACUUACGUAAUUAUUUAUAAUUUGUUUCUAAAUAAUCUGAUAAACAUAUUUAUGGUAAUCAUCCCAUGAACUGAAGUUUUAUAGCAGCACCAAUAGCAGCAGAAGAAAGAAGAAGAAGAAGAAGAAGAAAACAAAGGACGAGAAGGAGGAGGAGAAAGGGGACUGAGUUGUUUAAAAAGUAUGCACGAGUUAAAACUUUUUAAAAAAAUGGGUAUAGGUUAAAUGAGGGCGACCAAAUAGGGCACUCUAUACAAUUUUUACGGCAUAAGAUUGCGAAGAAGAAAGCAAGUAUAGCGGCUAUGGCGGUUAAAACGACAGUAUUUAAACGCUUCUGUGAAGAACUAGAGGACAAAGCUGGGGGGGGAAAUUGUAUAGGCUUGCCAAGGCGAGAGAGAGGAUGACUCGCGACCUAGACCAAGUGAGGUGUAUUAAAGACGAGGAUGGCAAAGUACUGGUGGAAGAUGCAUACAUUCAACGAAGAUGGCAGACAUAUUUUGAUAUACUCUUAAAUAUAGAAGGGGAUAGGAAUAUUUGUGCUUGGUGAUUUAGAGCACUCUGAAAGCCGCCGAGAUUUGGGUAUUGUAGGUGUAUGAAGUUUGAGGAGGUGAAGAGGGCAAUUCGUAAGAAAAGAGGAGGAACAGUGAUCGGGCCAAACAAAAGUCCUGUGGAAUUUUGAAAAGUUGUAGGCAAAGUAGGUUUGGAGUGACUAACUGGAUUAUUUAAUACUAUUAUUUUUAGCGACUAACUGGGUUCUUUAAUAUCAUUUGGCCAAAAAUUAAUUAAAUGGCAUGAAGUCGAAAAUGCUGUAAAGAAGACCACAUCAUGACUAUUCCCCUCUCCUUUUUUUGUUUGACUCGGCCUUAGGCUAAAUCUAAGUGGAAAUGAUAUCACGUAGCCAUUUUUAAGUACGUUGUUUAAAAUAUAUCCAUAAUUUAUAAUAUAUCUAAAGAUUAGCCAAUUUCGCUCAAAGUUCCUAGAGUUUAGACCUCAAAGUUUUAACUUCAGGAUAUCGUGUCCUAAAGUUUAAAAAUUAUGUUCAAAAGUUCGAAUCUUAUGUCCUGAAUUUUAUAUUAAUAGUUCAAAAAUUCGGACACUAUGUCCUAAAUUUCCAAAUUCAUGAUACUUAGUUCUGAAGUUUGGACGAAUGACUAAUCUUUAAAUAUAUUAUAAAUUAUGGAUAUAUUUUAAAUAACGGGCUUAAAAGUGGCUAUUACUACACUUCGCCCUAAAUCUGUUCAUGGCCCAAACCCACAUCUCAAUUAACGGGUUAGGCAGAACGACCUGACCCGACCAUGGAAGCAGCUACCCACCGUCUCUCGUGACCCUUCUUUGUCUCUCUAGAACAUGUAGACACUUCGGCUCGACUCUUCUUUCUAUUAGAAGUUUCUGGCUCUCUCUCCCAUUUGCUCAGCACUUUCUAUAUUAUUAUCUUCUCUUUUUCUCCGCUUACUCUGUUUCCCUCUGUCUCUGCUUAAACAGUGAGCUUUUCUAGCUUGUGCGGUAAUAGUAUUAUUAUACUCUGCAUUUUCUUGAGCUUUCUUUGAUUUUAAUAAGUACCCUUUACAUUAAAACUUAUCACAAGUGAAGAAAGAAUUGUUCUUUCAUAAUGAAUAUGUUGUUCUCUUUGUUUGGUUGCUUAAUUCUUUACUGUUGGUACGUCUAUUGCAAGUUUCAAUUUUUGCUUAUGUGGGGUUGAUAAUUCUAUUAUAUUUAUUCCAUUUCAAUAUCUGUUUUAUACUCUUUAGGCUAAAGCUUACUGGUAUACAAGAAAGCAUGUUGCUUUGUGAAUGAACACGUGUAUAUUCUUUGUUUGAUUUUGUCAUUAAUCAAGCUUCAGUUUUUACUCAGGUGGGGUUGUCCAUCUCUUUGUCAUAUCCAUUAACUCAAACUUAUCACAAGAAAGAUGAUUCCUUCUGAAUGAAUAUGGAUAUUUUGUUUUGUUUGAUUAUUUCAUUCAUCAAUGUUGGUUUGCCUAAUGCAAAAAUUCAGCUUUGACUCAUGUGGGUUUGGUAAAAGUAUUUUCGUUAUUUCAUAUCCUUAAUCUGCUUAAUCACAGAUGAAGUGGUGUUGCUUUUGUUUGUCACUAAUUAAUUCUGGAAUGUUGCUUGAGUUUCUGUAUUUUGAUUCAAUUUCAUUUCCCCCUUUUCUUUUUUCCAGAAUUUGGAAUGAAAACAGUCACAUAUGGUAAUUGAAUACACAAGUGCAGAGAAAAAUCAUCUGUACAUAUUUCUUAAUUUAUUUUGGUGUGUGUGUGUGUGUGAGGGACAGAGAGAUGGGCCUUGAACAUGAUAGAUAUUACCGAUUAUUCUUGUACGAAGUAUCAAAUGGAUUACUUUUCAAUUUUUUAAUCAGCGGAUAUGUAUGUAUUUUCAUUGCAGGUGUUCUUUAGUCUGUGUAGUGUGUUCAUGGCUGAACAAGCAUACACUGUGGCAUCAGACAGUGAAACAACCGGGGAGGAAAAGACUUCACCUGCUUUCCCUGAGAUAGCGAUUGGAAUUGACAUUGGUACAUCUCAAUGCAGUGUGGCAGUCUGGAAUGGAUCUCAGGUUGAGCUCCUUAGAAACACGAGAAAUCGGAAAUUGAUGAGAUCAUAUGUUACCUUCAAAGAUGAGGUCCCAGCUGGUGGUGUUAGCGAUGAAUUGGCUCACGAACAUGAUAUGUU